GACAUGUGUGGUUUAAAACAGAUGUUGGAUUUUUACCAAGAUGUUUUUAAAACACACUCUCCAGAUUCCAAAACUGAGGAGGACAUCAUCAAUAAUCUAUCUCGUUUGCGAGUAGACUUCAGAGGCUGUUUAAAUCACCCUUCUUGCAAGUAUUCCACCAAAGAUGCCAUGAUUAAACAAAUGAGAACGACAUUCGUGGAGCUGAAGGAAAAGGGAGUUCACAAGGCCUUUGGAGAGCUUCCAAGAAUGCUUGACUGGAUAAAUGAAUAUGUGCACUAGGAAGAGAAGUAGCACAAGAAAAAGUAAAAGAAGAAGGAACAAAAUAAAAAGUACAUUU
This is a long non-coding RNA of Acipenser ruthenus (sterlet), 337 nucleotides long. RefSeq lists it as uncharacterized. The record is from RefSeq and is a predicted model, not a curated record. The transcript has 3 exons. NCBI's taxonomy places the organism in Eukaryota, Metazoa, Chordata, Actinopteri, Acipenseriformes, Acipenseridae.